This 261-nucleotide long non-coding RNA is filed under the name Elaeis guineensis (African oil palm). RNAcentral's name for it is "long non-coding RNA (EGUI_LNC060860)". The record is from RNAcentral. Lineage: Eukaryota; Viridiplantae; Streptophyta; Magnoliopsida; Arecales; Arecaceae.
GCCGACCUUCUACAGUGACCAACUAUUUUUUGAACUCCUUUCAGACUCCGUCAAUAUCCGAGCUUCUUCGACAAUGAGGUUUCUACAUAAAUCAGACUCCAUCUGAGUUUCUACGGUGAUCGACCGCUUUCAAGAUUCUAACCAAACUCCUACAGCGGGCAGUCUACUCCGAACUUCUACUACGAGCGGUCUACUCCAAACUUCUACUAUGAGCGGUCUACUCCGAACUCCUACAGCGAGCGAUCUGCUCCGAACUCCUAC